RNAcentral lists this long non-coding RNA (737 nucleotides) under Sparus aurata (gilthead seabream). Its description in RNAcentral is "lncRNA (ENSSAUG00010001599.1)". Lineage: Eukaryota; Metazoa; Chordata; Actinopteri; Spariformes; Sparidae. The record is from RNAcentral.
UAACACAUUUUGCAAAUGAGAGAAAGUGGAAAACCAACAGAGCUACACUGUUCUACAUGUGACAGAUGCAACACUCGGAUGCUGGAAACAAAAACCAUAUAAAGCUGUUUUGGCUCACAGUUAUCUGGCAGACGCAGAACAACAUUAGCAUCCGAAUGAAGACGUGUUUCUGUCCACCUGAUGAAUGAUCUGUUUUCAUGCUGUUUUCGGCGGAUGGAGGAUUUGUUCUGUUCGGCUGCAGCAGUGUGCCGUCAGCUCUCAUUAAGGACCAGCGAGGAGCCGGCCUCUCACCUCCAGAGCCGGGGGAAUGGAGUUGUCUUGUAACGUGCAUCUCUACAGGCGAGUCUGCCUGGGUUGUUGGAGCGGUUGAAUCCAGUUGUCUGUCAGCGGAGGAAAAUCAUCAGGUUGCCAACUUUCCAUGGCGCCUCAACAACGAAGCUGUCGGAUUCAGACAGCCACCAAAUCUGACUGCAGAUAAACAACUGUUCACGGCUGCGACAUCUCAGGGAGGAAAUCAUUCUGUGCUGAGGAACAAUGGGUUAAAUUUGCACCCCGAUUAAUGAGUUUUACUUCAAAUGUGUCGUACUUUAAUAAAGAGGUUUUCAAACUGUGAGGUAGAGUUGAAUCCUGAAUCGUGAGUCAUGACUCUGGACACGCUGACAUGAUGCACAUAUUUUUAGAUCCAUACUUCCACAGCCUGAGGAUAUCAUCUCUGGUGUCUUUCACAAGUAACAUCC